GUGCAAUAGAGCGAUCUCAGCUCACUCAAAAAAAAAAAAUCAAAUAAUGUAAUUUGUUUCCCCUAUUUAAAGGCCCUCAAUGGCUUCCCAUUGUUGUUAGAAUAAAAUCCAAAUACCUUAGCAAGGUCUACACGUCCUGACUUGGUCUGACCCCUGCCUGCCUUCCCAGUCUUACCUCCCUAAUUCCCUACUCUAUUUGCACUAAGCCCUAGCUAUUUUUUUUUUUUUUUUUUUUUUUUUUUUUUUUUUUUUU
RNAcentral lists this long non-coding RNA (253 nucleotides) under Homo sapiens (human). RNAcentral's name for it is "non-protein coding lnc-ZMYM4-1:1". The record is from RNAcentral. Lineage: Eukaryota; Metazoa; Chordata; Mammalia; Primates; Hominidae.